GUUUCAGACUGCAGAGAACCUGAUUGGAGGUUCCUUAGGAAGCAGCAAUUUGGGUAAUUUCAGAAAAUGCUUUUUCCAUACUUACAGAUGCAGCAUAACUUUACACAGGCCACAGUAAAACUGAAAGUGGGUUGUCUGACUGUCCAGUUUCUGCAGUGUUACUUGUGAGCCCCAGGUGCAGCUGAUUUCAUUUUAAUAAGCUAGAGCAUCUGGAAAGAGUUCUAUACUACAGCUAAAUCUGAAAACUGACAGAGAAGGAAUUAUUUCAGAAGAUAAGGCUGCACUCCAAAGACAGGCCUCCUCCUUUGCUAAAAGCUCUCUUUGUGUGCUCAAAUUGAAGAAUGAGAAUGUACAAGAUGGAAGAUCAGCAUGGAGGACAUCUUUUGCAGCGCUGAAUCAGAGGUGGGAGAUGUACUCUACCCGAGAAAAGUUUCUCUCAUGGAGGACAGAAGUGUUGGUGAAUGUAGGGUGUGUUUGAGAUUUUAAAGGGGAGAUGGGCUAUCUGUUGCUGUGUGUAAAACUGGAGGAAGAAAAUAUGUCCCAGCUCAGACUAUGCUCAAUAGAGGGAGAGACCAGUUCCCAGUUCCCAGCUAGGUCCAGCCUAUUAUUUCCAUUUAUUAAUUAGGUGAAUAAUAUCCUAUUAUUAGGUCCAGCAGAAUUAUUUAGGCUGGCACCCAGUGCAGGAUAUUAGAGAGCAGUUAAAUCCUCUCAGAGAGCUUCG
Molecule: long non-coding RNA, 721 nt
Filed under: Gallus gallus (chicken)
Lineage: Eukaryota; Metazoa; Chordata; Aves; Galliformes; Phasianidae
Description: lncRNA (ENSGALG00010005013.1)
Source: RNAcentral